GCCGGGGUGGCGAAAUGGCAGACGCACUGGACUCAAAAUCCAGCGGUGGCAACACCAUGAGGGUUCGACUCCCUCCCCCGGCACCA
This 86-nucleotide transfer RNA is filed under the name Lentisphaerae bacterium RIFOXYA12_FULL_60_10. RNAcentral's name for it is "tRNA-Leu". It matches the Rfam family "tRNA". Rfam says of the family: Transfer RNA (tRNA) molecules are approximately 80 nucleotides in length. Their secondary structure includes four short double-helical elements and three loops (D, anti-codon, and T loops). Further hydrogen bonds mediate the characteristic L-shaped molecular structure. tRNAs have two regions of fundamental functional importance: the anti-codon, which is responsible for specific mRNA codon recognition, and the 3' end, to which the tRNAs corresponding amino acid is attached (by aminoacyl-tRNA synthetases). tRNAs cope with the degeneracy of the genetic code in two manners: having more than one tRNA (with a specific anti-codon) for a particular amino acid; and 'wobble' base-pairing, i.e. permitting non-standard base-pairing at the 3rd anti-codon position. Lineage: Bacteria; Pseudomonadati; Lentisphaerota. RNAcentral also lists the same sequence under 2 other names. The record is from RNAcentral.